This 445-nucleotide ribosomal RNA is filed under the name soybean endophytic bacterium EN178. Its description in RNAcentral is "bacterial SSU rRNA". It matches the Rfam family "Bacterial small subunit ribosomal RNA", at positions 889 to 1334 of the family's 1533-position model. RNAcentral also lists the same sequence under 1 other name. The record is from RNAcentral.
CAAGGUUAAAACUCAAAUGAAUUGACGGGGGCCCGCACAAGCGGUGGAGCAUGUGGUUUAAUUCGAUGCAACGCGAAGAACCUUACCUGGUCUUGACAUCCACAGAACUUUCCAGAGAUGGAUUGGUGCCUUCGGGAACUGUGAGACAGGUGCUGCAUGGCUGUCGUCAGCUCGUGUUGUGAAAUGUUGGGUUAAGUCCCGCAACGAGCGCAACCCUUAUCCUUUGUUGCCAGCGGUCCGGCCGGGAACUCAAAGGAGACUGCCAGUGAUAAACUGGAGGAAGGUGGGGAUGACGUCAAGUCAUCAUGGCCCUUACGACCAGGGCUACACACGUGCUACAAUGGCGCAUACAAAGAGAAGCAAUCUCGCGAGAGCUAGCGGACCUCAUAAAGUGCGUCGUAGUCCGGAUUGGAGUCUGCAACUCGACUCCAUGAAGUCGGAAUCG